GGGGGCGGCAGAUGCCAAUCCACGGCGUCCGGGACGCGCCCGAGAUACAGGGUCUGGGCAGGCGGCUUGGUCUGGGGACCGCAAAGAUGCACCCUGCUAACCCAAGUCUGAUUGCGCGCGCAUGCACCGUCUCACCGCGUCCUUCUGCUCCCUGCACCCUGCCACAGCCACAACCAACGCCUGGAACGCAGCUGCUCCUUAUUUGUUGAGUGGAUGAAUGAAUGAAUGGAAUGAAUGGCGGUGGAGGUCAGAACACAGUUUGGUGUGAAUGACGAGUUCCCGUUGAGAGUAUCUGAAGUUGCCCCUCCUACCUUGCUCUGUGGCCCUGCGCGAAAACAAAACUUUCCUGCCAGGCCCUCUGCUCCAAACUGGUGUCAGGGAAAUCAAGGGCCUCUCCCAUCUUGCGCUGGUGUCCAGGUACACCCUCACUCCUCCACUACGGGGUCCUUCUGUUGGAUCUGUUGGAACAGGAGGGAACCGCAGCCUGGAAAGGUGGGUGUGAACCAUGAACCCAGAUGACCAAGCCAGUGGAUAUGGCACAGGCAGUCCCGAAGGAAGGGUCCAUGUGUGUCCCGAGGUCAGAACUGAGAAGCCCUUCAACUGCCACUGCAUGUUUCUAACUUCCAGAAACCGUCAGGAUGGAUCUAAUUUCUCAUGUGGAAACUGGGGCUCUGAGCAGGUGGCACCACCUACCAUCCACAGUCCUUGAGAAUUCCAGAAAAGAAACAGCAGAACGAUAUUUUCCUGACCUCGUCUAUGAUGUGAGCCAUAAGGAUUUGCCCAACAGUCCAUGCCUGGUCUCUGCUCGGGUCAGUACUGGGGUGUGGCUGCUGUUUCUGGAUGCUCUGAACUUGGAAUGGACAAGAGAAACACAUGCAGGAAAUGGCAACGCAGGAUGUCUGCCUGGAAAAGAUGGAGAGAGACACAGAGAGACAGAGAGAAAAAGACAAAAAGAGAAACAGAGACAGACACCGAGAGACAGAGAAAGGCAAAGAAAGAGAGAGACAAAGACAGAGAGAUUGAGAGGAAAGAGAAAGACAAAAAAAUAAGAUUGAGAGAGAAGAGGAGACAGGGAGAAAGAAAGAGACAAAGAAAAACAGUGCAGAUGGCAGAGUUCUCCCAGGAGAUCAGAGAAGCAAAGUGCAGAGGAAAGGGCAGAAGAAGGUGGUCAGGUGCAUUCCAGGACUAAACUUCACCUCAAUGUCCCUCAGUCCUCAACAGAUGUGGCAGAGCAAAGAGCAAACAGGAGGUGCCAGGGCUAGACCUGCAGGGCAUCUCCUGGUUACCUAGGCACUGCAGCCAAGGGAGGGGAGGGAGGAGCCCAGCCUGGCCCUACCCACUGUAAACAGGCAACUACUCCUUUCUGAAAGGAGGGCAGAGCCAAACACUUCUGCUCCCCUAAACAGGAGCCAAGACUGUGCACGGAUCAAUGAUGCAAUGGGAAGGAGUCUCUCCCGGUCCCUCCCCAUCUCUGUCUAUAUCUCUCUCUCUUUGUCUCUCUCUCUCUCACACACACACACACACACACACACACACACACAUACACCGAGAGAGAGAGAGAGAGAAAUGCCGAUUAUGGACUAAAAUUCGUAUGUUAGAAUGCUAACCCCCAAGGUGGUGAUAUUUGGAGGUGAGACCUUUGGAGGUAAUUAAGUCAUGAGAGCAGAGCCACCAUGAAUGGGCUCAGCAACUUCAUUAAAAAGGCCCGAGUGUGCUCCAUCAUGUGAGAACACCACAAGAAGGUGACCAUCUCCUACCAGGAAGCAGGUCCCCACGAGUCACCCCACAGUGCUGGCACCCUGACCUGGGGCUUGCAGCCUCCAGAACUGUGAGAAAUAAAUUUCUACCAUUUAUAAGCCACAUCAGCUAUUGUAUUCCAUUAUAUGAUCCCGAACUGGCUGAGACAGUGCACCAGCCUUUCCCAGGGAGUUUAACUUAACUGCUUUUCUCCACUUAUUGCCUGGAGCACCCCAUCCCUGGGGCUGGGUUCCGGAUGAGAGACUAGGAACAGGCACAGGUGCUCAAUGCCUCUCCUCCCUGCACACUGGAGGCUGCUACUGGAGGAGCCAUGGCGUCAGUUACUUCUCUACCUAGGAUGAGGGGGUUUCCAGGCAGCCCCAUACAGCUCCACUGUAGGGUAUGCCCCGCAUGUGAGCAGGGGAUGCGGUCUUCUCAUGUAUUCUCCACAGCCCCUAGAGACGCAGAAAGAGCACCAGUUUGUCUAAAACCAGCCACUUUCUAAUGCUGCAGCCCCGAGCAAGUCCCUUCAUUUCUCAGGAACAGUUUCUCCCUUGGCAGGUGGAAUAAGUCAUAAUAGAAGCAACUCAGAUCUGCCGGAGACUGGGAAUUUAUAGGGAUAUUAGCAUAAUAAGAAACAAAUUUGCUCUUGGAAAUAUAAGGUAUGGUAAGAAUUCAAAGUGACCAUGUGAUGAAUGAAUGAGCAUAAUGAAUAAAACAUGAUAUGAUUUUCUAUAACGACUGUAUCAUCCCUCCCCAACCCAUCCCCAGCAAGUCCACGGUACGCAGUUGAGCUAAAAUAAAGCAUGGUACUAAAAUAAAAUCUUCACCCUGGAGGAUUUCCAAUUUCUCCUGUCAUAUUACUGACUUACUAUGAUUGACUAUUGCUUUCUUAUUAUUUCAGGCAGAGUCUCACUCUGUUGCUCAGGCUGGAGUGUAGUGGUGCAAACACAGUUCACUGUAGCAUUCACCUCCUCCUCCAAGCAAUCCUCCUGCCUCAGACUCCCAAGUAGCUGGGAUCACAGGUGUGUGCCAUCAUGCCCAGCUAAUUUUUUUUUUUUUUUUUUUACGACAGGGUCUCACUCUGUCACCCAGGUUGGAGUGCAGUGGUGCAAUCUCGGCUCACUGCAACCUCUGCCUCCCAGGUUCAAACAAUCCUCCCACCUCAGCCUCCCAAGUAGCUGGGACCACAGGCGCACACCACCACGUCUGGCUAAUUUUUUGUAUUUUUGGUAGAAAUGGGGUUUCACCAUGUUGCCCAGGCUGGUCUCGAACUCCUGAGCUCCGGGGAUUCACCUAUCUUGGCCUCCCAAACUGCUUUACAGGCGUGAGCUACUGCACCUGGCCUCAGCUAAUUAUUUUAUGUUUUGUAGAAAUGGGGCCUCACCAUUUUGCCCAGGCUGGUCUCAAACUCCUGGGCUCAAGCAAUCCUCCCAUCACACCCAGCUGACUAUUGCUUUAAAACAAGUGUUCCAUUGGUUAAAACUUGGAAAUUCUUCUAUAUUUUUCUGUUUACAAUACUCAGAGAAUUAAAAUGGGGCAUGAUCAUCAUGAUCAUGGGGCAUGACUUUAGCUUUCCUUUUGGAUCCCGAUGUAAUAAUUCAGUGAUCAAUAAUAGAUAACAUUUUUGAAUAUUUAAUAUGCACAAAGAACUACUAGGUGCUUUACAUGCAUUAUC
Molecule: long non-coding RNA, 3415 nt
Filed under: Macaca mulatta (Rhesus monkey)
Lineage: Eukaryota; Metazoa; Chordata; Mammalia; Primates; Cercopithecidae
Description: lncRNA (ENSMMUG00000052540.1)
Source: RNAcentral